Long non-coding RNA from Cucumis melo (muskmelon), 1224 nucleotides. RefSeq lists it as uncharacterized. The record is from RefSeq and is a predicted model, not a curated record. Lineage: Eukaryota; Viridiplantae; Streptophyta; Magnoliopsida; Cucurbitales; Cucurbitaceae. The transcript has 7 exons.
UCUUCUUCUCUUCCCUUCACCGCCAAGCAUUUUGAAGACAAAUUCUCAUCCAACUUCCAUUCUUUUCCUUCUUCAAUUUGCAGAGAACAUUUAAGAGAGAUUUUGGAAGAAUAAGAGGAAUUUUACUAGAAUUUUGAGGUUGAAGAAGAGGAGGAGAACUCAAGCAAAGUGUAUCCAUGGCUGAAUUUUAGUUCAUUCUGCACAUCACUGGUUUGUAAUUCGGUUUGAACUCUUCAAAAGGAAUUAAGAGGGCAGUUGGUUUUCACUCGAAAUCAAAAGGUCUCUGGUUUUUCUUAUAUUUCAGAGUGUACCGGUGAAGUUAGAAUCUCUAUUUGUUAAAUUGUAGGGAAAAGUUAAAGAGGUCGUGUGCGCGCGAUUCUAGAAGUGGUUCUGUUUCGAGGGUUAUCUGAGCUUAUGCAUGGGGAAUUAGAUUUACAUGUCUUCAGGCCGAGAAGAAUUAAAUUGAGCUUAUAGACUAAGGAUCUAGCCCAAGACGAAGUAAUCGUUAAUGAAUAGGGCUGCUAGAGCAAAGCAGCCUUACAACCAUAGCAGUGGUGCCAAGUUGUUUCUAUAGCGAUAAUAGGAGCUCGCUGAACAGCUGGGUCAUCUAGUCGACUGUGUGGAGUUAUUAAGGUAAACACACACUCGGGGUGGCUAGUUUGUUUCGCAGGCAGCUGUAGAUGUGCAUAAUCAAAUGUUGGAACUCCAGUCCCAACAAACCUAGAGGGUUCUCAACCACUCUUUGGGGACGAGAUAUACGAGACCAUUUUGGAUAGACGAUCGGGCUACUAAAAAGGUCUUAGUUAGGGCUCCAAGCCAAAGUCGAGACAUGCUGUUGGCAGUUCUUUAUCUACAUCUGUCGAGCGAUAGUUGGAGGUUAACAAGCUAGAAACUCAUCUUGAGGUAUUAGAAGAAGAGAGUAACAGGAAGCACGAAGAAAGUACUCACCUCAUAGAAGCACAGGCUCGCCAUGUGGAAGAACAGGUUGCCAUAUGGAAGAAAUGAGGAAGAUGAUUGAUGACCUCUUCCGCGCUUUGAGAGAGCCUUGAUUUCAUUCAGGUUCGAAUGCAUGAGGAACUUUCAUGGGACACUGGUCCUUAGAUUAUGUGUUUAGUUUUCUAUUUUUAGUUUAAGUUUUUUGUUUUCAUUAUGUAUGUAACUUUUGAACAACGAACGUGUAUUUUUGAAUUAUUUUUAAUAUGAAUUUCAUUUGGCAUUUCAUUA